This 738-nucleotide ribosomal RNA is filed under the name Serratia marcescens. RNAcentral's name for it is "bacterial SSU rRNA". It matches the Rfam family "Bacterial small subunit ribosomal RNA", at positions 37 to 765 of the family's 1533-position model. The record is from RNAcentral. Lineage: Bacteria; Pseudomonadati; Pseudomonadota; Gammaproteobacteria; Enterobacterales; Yersiniaceae.
UGGCGGCAGCUUACACAUGCAAGUCGAGCGGUAGCACAGGGGGAGCUUGCUCCCCGGGUGACGAGCGGCGGACGGGUGAGUAAUGUCUGGGAAACUGCCUGAUGGAGGGGGAUAACUACUGGAAACGGUAGCUAAUACCGCAUAACGUCGCAAGACCAAAGAGGGGGACCUUCGGGCCUCUUGCCAUCAGAUGUGCCCAGAUGGGAUUAGCUAGUAGGUGGGGUAAUGGCUCACCUAGGCGACGAUCCCUAGCUGGUCUGAGAGGAUGACCAGCCACACUGGAACUGAGACACGGUCCAGACUCCUACGGGAGGCAGCAGUGGGGAAUAUUGCACAAUGGGCGCAAGCCUGAUGCAGCCAUGCCGCGUGUGUGAAGAAGGCCUUCGGGUUGUAAAGCACUUUCAGCGAGGAGGAAGGUGGUGAACUUAAUACGUUCAUCAAUUGACGUUACUCGCAGAAGAAGCACCGGCUAACUCCGUGCCAGCAGCCGCGGUAAUACGGAGGGUGCAAGCGUUAAUCGGAAUUACUGGGCGUAAAGCGCACGCAGGCGGUUUGUUAAGUCAGAUGUGAAAUCCCCGGGCUCAACCUGGGAACUGCAUUUGAAACUGGCAAGCUAGAGUCUCGUAGAGGGGGGUAGAAUUCCAGGUGUAUCGGUGAAAUGCGUAUAUAUCUGGAGGAAUACCGGUGGCGAAAGCGGGCCCCUGGACUAAGAUUGUUGCUCAUGUGCGUAAACGUGGG